RNAcentral lists this unclassified non-coding RNA (229 nucleotides) under Kurtzmanomyces insolitus. RNAcentral describes it as "partial internal transcribed spacer region". The stretch from base 1 to 46 matches the Rfam family "Eukaryotic small subunit ribosomal RNA", at positions 1786 to 1831 of the family's 1831-position model. The record is from RNAcentral. Lineage: Eukaryota; Fungi; Basidiomycota; Agaricostilbomycetes; Agaricostilbales; Chionosphaeraceae.
AAGUCGUAACAAGGUUUUCGUAGGUGAACCUGCGGAAGGAUCAUUAGAGAAUUUAAUGGGAGUCCCUCUUAACCGGAGAAGGCCCAGUUCUACUAUUUCAAACCCUAGUGCAUUUGUCCCCUUUUUUUAAUUACCCUUUUAACCCUUUUUGCAUUUGAAAAGGUUGUUGUGUUUAACACAUUUUGAUAAAUGAAAGAAAAACUUUCAGCAAUGGAUCUCUUGGCUCUCG